RNAcentral lists this ribosomal RNA (505 nucleotides) under uncultured bacterium. RNAcentral's name for it is "partial 16S ribosomal RNA". It matches the Rfam family "Bacterial small subunit ribosomal RNA", at positions 28 to 507 of the family's 1533-position model. The record is from RNAcentral.
GACGAACGCUGGCGGCGUGCCUAAUACAUGCAAGUAGAACGCACAGUUUAUACCGUAGCUUGCUACACCAUAGACUGUGAGUUGCGAACGGGUGAGUAACGCGUAGGUAACCUGCCUGGUAGCGGGGGAUAACUAUUGGAAACGAUAGCUAAUACCGCAUAAUAUUAAUUAUUGCAUGAGAAUUAAUUGAAAGGUGCAAUUGCACCACUACCAGAUGGACCUGCGUUGUAUUAGCUAGUAGGUGAGGUAACGGCUCACCUAGGCGACGAUACAUAGCCGACCUGAGAGGGUGAUCGGCCACACUGGGACUGAGACACGGCCCAGACUCCUACGGGAGGCAGCAGUAGGGAAUCUUCGGCAAUGGACGAAAGUCUGACCGAGCAACGCCGCGUGAGUGAAGAAGGUUUUCGGAUCGUAAAGCUCUGUUGUAAGAGAAGAACGGGUGUGAGAGUGGAAAGUUCACACUGUGACGGUAGCUUACCAGAAAGGGACGGCUAACUACGUG